UUCCGACGCUUGUUGUAGCUUAGUAACCAUUUCACAUUGUUUAUUUAUUCCCUAAAAAAAUGUCACGAAACGUAAAAAUCUGGAAAAAACAAAUUCCUUGACGUAAUUCUCCACUGCACAAUUUGACUGGAAUGUCCUAUCUGCACAAAGGAAACUAAUACGCAAUGUUUCAGUAGUCGGAUAAGAAUAUGGCUGAGGUACUCCGGCUUAAGUAACACGGACAUAUGCACCCAGCAGUAUAUUUUCAGCUAUAUUUUACAACAUGGAUCUACGUUGAGCUGCGUUUACGAGAGGUAAUAAAUGCAAGUCGCUUUCUUCGAAAAUCAGACUCGGAAAGCGGAUCUCAACAUGCGCCAUGCAUGGGGGGGCAGAACGUGCGGCACAGUUACCUGCAUCAAUUCCUUGGUAUUAUGUACUCCACGGGUGCUUUAAGCUAAGCUUAGAAUUGAUGACUUUUCAUAAGCACAAAAAAUGAUGACCAUAAGUUAGCAGAGAAAUGCUAUGCAUAGGUGACAAAUAUGACUAACCAGGCAUUUUAUAAAAAUCUUUAUUUAAAAAAAAAUAGAUGUA
Molecule: long non-coding RNA, 570 nt
Organism: Armigeres subalbatus
Lineage: Eukaryota; Metazoa; Arthropoda; Insecta; Diptera; Culicidae
Exons: 3
Source: RefSeq, a predicted model, not a curated record